ACUUCAGGACGGGGACAACAGUUGGAAACGACUGCUAAUACCCGAUGUGCCGGGAGGUGAAACCUAAUUGGCCUGAAGAAGAGCUUGCGUCUGAUUAGCUAGUUGGUGGGGUAAGAGCCUACCAAGGCGACGAUCAGUAGCUGGUCUGAGAGGAUGAGCAGCCACACUGGGACUGAGACACGGCCCAGACUCCUACGGGAGGCAGCAGUGGGGAAUUUUCCGCAAUGGGCGAAAGCCUGACGGAGCAACGCCGCGUGAGGGAGGAAGGUCUUUGGAUUGUAAACCUCUUUUCUCAAGGAAGAAGUUCUGACGGUACUUGAGGAAUCAGCCUCGGCUAACUCCGUGCCAGCAGCCGCGGUAAUACGGGGGAGGCAAGCGUUAUCCGGAAUUAUUGGGCGUAAAGCGUCCGCAGGUGGUCAGCCAAGUCUCCUGUCAAAUCAGGUUGCUUAACGACCUA
RNAcentral lists this ribosomal RNA (457 nucleotides) under uncultured Microcystis clone 08. RNAcentral's name for it is "bacterial SSU rRNA". It matches the Rfam family "Bacterial small subunit ribosomal RNA", at positions 129 to 619 of the family's 1533-position model. The record is from RNAcentral. Lineage: Bacteria; Bacillati; Cyanobacteriota; Cyanophyceae; Chroococcales; Microcystaceae.